RNAcentral lists this long non-coding RNA (10052 nucleotides) under Vitis vinifera (wine grape). RNAcentral describes it as "long non-coding RNA (VVIN_LNC001398)". Lineage: Eukaryota; Viridiplantae; Streptophyta; Magnoliopsida; Vitales; Vitaceae. The record is from RNAcentral.
AAGGGGUCCCCUAGGUGCCCAAAAAUGGACGGUAUGUUUUGUUACUGGCGCCUUGUGAAGGAAAAAAAUGGAAAGGAAAGAGGAAAGAAAUUGAGAGAGGCCCCAAUACUAAGUGGGGAACAUUGAAAUGCAUUAGUGUGUUAAGGCUAAUAGAAGCAAUUCAUCACCACACAGGAUAUAUUAGUGGAGACUUUUUAUAAACAAUGAUAGAGACAGUAGCACUAAAUCAAGCAAGCAAAAGAAAGAAAGGAUUAGUGGGCGUAAAAACAGUAUUAUUUGGACCCUUGUUUGGUGGGUCUAUCAGAACACUUACCUCUCAAGACCUACCCCAACUUCUAUCAGGAUGCACCAUUUUCUAUUCAAAGCUUAGAAAAUAAAAUAUACAUAUAUAUCAAUAUCAGAUCCAUGUUUUGAAAUGCUUGACCAAUAGUUUGAGGCAAAAUAGGAUUUCUGGUGCUCUAAGUUGUCAUUGAACAAGUCAUUCUUCCAUAACACCAUAUCGUUCAAGUAUCACACAGAAAACCCCAUUAAGGACUUCACAGCACAAGCACUAAAAUAAUGAGAUCAUAUAAAGGUAGGAUCUGUUGGAAUUUUUGUCCAAACAGAAAACUAAUCUGAGUGUUGAAAGGUCAAUGAAGUGCAUAUCUAAGACAUGAUGUCAAAUUCACGUUACGAAAGAGCUGCAUAGGGCAUCCCAUACACACUGAAUCAAACAACAGCCUUUCAUCUUCAAACAACGGAUGUGCUUCAAUAAUACAAGAACGACAAAUGAGACUAUUACACCUUGGUUCAUGUCCAUGGGAUGCCAGAUGAAAUAAAUUGACGAGAUCAAGAUGCAGUCAUGACGCGAUCAUCGUCAUGGAACCCUCAUAAAUCAGCAUAUGGCUGGGCCAGCCCACUGGUAAACAAACAUUAUUAGAUUCUUCAUUCCCUGUUAGAAUGAUCUUUUUCUUUUCUUGGGUGGUGGAGGUUGCUCAAGAAUGAAGAAACAUUUUGAUAAAUGGCAACUUGAAUCCACUUGACUUGGAGGCAAGGAAGUGUUCCUUCACAUAACAGGGAAAGGCAUUUGAUCCAGGAUUCUUUUUUUAAUCCUAAAAAAUGCUAGUUUCAGAGGACCACAGAUUCUCAAGAAUGAGAAUGGGUACAAAUGACCUUGCAAGACAGCACAAUUUCCUUAGCAAAAAGAUGAAACCGAGCGGACGUCUCCCUUGCUUCAUAAAGAUAAUUUAUUCAGUUUGAAGAAGCUCUAUGCUCUUCUGGUGCACAUACAAAAAACCACAAAUAUAUGUGCAUGACAGACAAUACCGCAUCAAGUUCAACAGUUAUAGACAUGCGUAAUAAUCUACAAAGCUAUCUUGCUGUCAGCAAAGGAUUCCACUCUGCUUGAAUGCCCAUAACAGCAUAAUGAUAAAAGAAGAGCUCCAGUUUCACUUAAUUAUAGCACAAUAUCACAUGGGUAUAGAAAUGAAGCAUCAUGUUUCAGAUUUCAUGUCAUCAAACUGGUUGUUCUUUGAUAUUGGGAUGCAGUGAGAUCAUGUGACAAAAUCUUGUGUGCCACUAAUUUGAAAAAGUAUUCAGAAAAAUAAAAGACAGACACUAGAAUGUUAUCAGAAACUAAAUAGGCUCAUUUCAAAUUCUAUAUACAUUGACUUGUUCAACUUCCAUCAGAAAUCCAAAUGCUCCAGGAAAGUUGAAUCCCAUAAGUAAUACCUACCUCAAAAGUACUCUUUCUAAUUUAGUUAGUGGCCCUGAAAGUUCCAUUUUCAACACAGUUUUGAUUUAUCAAUAGGAUAAUUCCUAAUAUGGUCAUGAAAUGUCCAACCUUCAUGUCUUAUCCAGAAAAGAACUAAAAGAAAAAGAAAUAUAUCAAACAGAGAAUCACUGCAUCACAAUCCUUUGACAGGGCUGAUGUUUGAUUUAUUGGAGCAUUUAUUACAUGCAGUAAGUAAAGCGAGUAUUAUUGUUGAUGGUCAAUGAACUCAAUUCAUGUCACAGGCCUUUUCUUGUUGUUCUUUUUCAUACAUGCUGUAAAAUGGCCAAUGGAUCCAAGGAUUACGAGAAAACCACACAAAUUGUACUAUUACCAUAUCCAUUUUAAUGUGGCAAGUGCAGGAAUUUUGAAUAAUCAUCAUUAGAGGUAGUAAGGGCGACAUGGAAUGACCCAUGGAAAUGGAACAUUUCCAUUGCACUUCAUGAAGAAUUUUAAAGGUGAAAAGACACUAGUGCACUUAUUUGCUAUUGUUUUAGAGUGACAUCUCCAUUUUCUCCAAUAACCAUUCUAGUAGAUUAGAUUGAUCCCUCGAAAUUCAAAUGCUACCAAAAACCAACAUUACAUGCAAGAUCCAAGUAUCGUCAAAUAGAAUUAUACCCUGUCCUACUAAAGAGAGAAUUAGCCUUCAUCAUGCAUGGAAGAAACCUUCACCAUGAGGAACAAGAUGGGGGAAAAGAAUCCACGUUUAACUAGAUUAGAGGACAGUAAACAUUCUUCCAUAGAGUUCCCAAAUGGAGAAAGAUACACCUCAUUAUGACGCUUCAGUAGAUAAAAUAUUGCUGAAAGAGCAUCUGAGCUUGAAACUUAUUUUGACGGGCUCUAGAAGAAGUUAAGAAGGAGGCUUCUUUCUUAAUCUGGUGGGGGAUAGGAUCCAAACUCAGACAGGUUUCCUUUUAGAUUGUCUCUCAGUUGCCGGGAUAUUAUUAAGAUGAUUAGAGGAAGAUCUCUAAAGCAUUCCAUUUGUCAAUAAAGGCACCAGUAUCAAGUUGAUUGAUUAGCUAGAUUGCAAAGGAAAGGGGUUCUGUAAGUUUUAAGGACUUUCAACCUAUUUUCUAAGGAAAGGGCCCUUAUAAGGUUAACUCAAAUAUUUUACCCAGUAGACUGAAAAGGGUUUUGGGUGAGACCAUUUCCCUGGCUAAAGGUGCUUCCAUAAGUGGGAGACAAAUUACAAGCGCCAUUCUUGUAGAAAUCGAGUGUGUGGAUUAUAGGACCCUUGUGGACAGUUCAAUUAGCUGUAGAUGAUCUCCACUGGUGGCUAGAUGUUUCACCUAGUAUGAUGUUGAUCAUGAGUUUUAGGAGUUGUUUACUCUUAUCGCCAAGGCCGACAUGGUGUAUUCUCGUUCAUUACCACAUAAGCAGAUAGUGUUACCAAAAACAACUGCCAAAGUUCAUCAGCUCAAAGACAACCCUUGCAGCAAACCAUUCUCAUUGCUCUACCAUACAUUCAUUCCAAAUGGAGGAUGAAACAUAUAUGGGGGCUCAAUUCUUACAUCUCUCAUCUAAGCAAGCUUCAACUAUUUGGGGGUCUAAAAUUGUCUACCUGGCAAGCUGGUUAAGAUUCAACCUUAUGGCUUUAAAAAAACCCUUUGAAUUCCCAAAAUUUGCAACCAAAAGCACUUGGGUAAUUACUUCAAACCAAAAUUAAGCACUUGGGUUUUCAGGCUUUGUUGAGAACAAACCCUUGUUCUUGAAAUUACUAACAAAUAUUAGUGAAAGUACCAUAGAAACUCCAAUUGGGGAUAGCCUUAAGUGCUUUAACUACUGGAUUUAGCUCCUUCACAUAUUUUUAAUUCCACAAAAAUAAAAUUAAAAAAUAGAGAAAUUAAAAAAUAUUAUAUUAAUAAUUAGCAUAAAACUCUGUUCUAAAUCCAAUCUACAACUGGGUUUUGUUAAAUAAAAUCAAACAUGGUAAAUAGGUCCUUAUAGUUCAUCGGUAUCACCAUCAUCACUGUAAAACAAGAUAACUGUAACAUUCAUGGGAGCUGAUUCUCACCGGAAUAACUCGGAUAGGGCUGACUGAGUGAGAGCACCGCGUUGGCUCAGUCAAACUCAGAGUGUGGUUGUCCCUUUCAAGAAGACACCGUUUUGCCUAUUUUGGCAUAUUUUCAAACUAUUGUGAAAAUUAAUAUUUUUUUAUUAUUUUUAAACUACUUUAAAAUUAAUUUAAAAUCAUAUUUUGAAAUUACCAAUCCUAUACAAAUUCAAAAUCGCAUUUUCUAAUUCACGAAAAGUUAUACUUUCCAACAUGCAGUUUCUAAAUUGUAUUGAAGCCAUAAUUUCAAAAUGGGGUUUUAGAGAAAUUAAAAAAAAUAAAAUAGAAUAAAAAUGUCAUAAGUGACCCUUCUUGAACAAUAGUUUGGGAGAAGCCUCAAGAUGGAUAUUUUAAUGGUUUAAAUGGAUGGUUGAAAUUAAAACUCUAUUCCAACUCCCAUUAGAGACCAAUCCACAAUUACUAAUGCCAUGUUUGGUUAGUGGAAAGUUUGGGGGAAAAUAGAGGGAAAUAAAAUAAAGAGAAAAAGAAGAAGAAAAAUAAAAAAGAUUUAAAAUUAAUAAAUUAUUUUUAUAUACUACUUCAAUUUUUUUUUACCUAUUUAAUUCUUUUAUAUAAAUAUUAGAGAAUUUAAAAAUAUAUAAAUUUUUUAAUAAUUUUAAUUAUAUUUAACUUUUUUUUACAUUUUUCAUAAUAAAAUCAAAUAAGAGAAAAUUAUUUUUCUUAAUAAUUUUUUUUCUUUUCCUAAUAUUUUUCAAGAACCAAAUAUAACCGAAUGGAAAUAAAAUGAAAAACAUUAUCAUGAAAAGGAAAGGUAUCCAAUUAAAAUCAAUAAUUAUAUUAAAGUAAGGAUAAUGUUACUUCUCGUAAAAACUAUGUUUUACCUUGUGAAAGAAAUUAUUUCAUGUUUAAUAAAACUUUUAUAAUAUUAAUAUAAUCUUUUAAAAAUUGUAAUUUUGACUUUAAUUUAAGCUUUUAGUUAAAGUUUAAAAAAAAUAAAUCAUUUGAAUUGACUUUUAAGAAGUCAAAAGUCUUUUUUUUAACUCGUUGGUUUGAUUUUUAUUUUAUUUUUAUAAAACGGUUUGACUUAAAAAAAAGAGUUUAUAGUCUUAAUUAGAAAGCUUAUUUAAAUAUUCUUAAUUUAAAAAAUGACAACAUGGGUACAUGUGAGAUUUCUAUUCUUUUUCCUUUUUUUUUUCUUUUUUUCUUUUGUAAUUUAAUAGGCUUUUUCUUAAGACAUAACAUAUGUGUAUGAUAUUUUUUGGAUGUAAUUAAUUAAUGCAGGUUGCAUAGGAUGGUGUCUCCCAUGUGUCACCUUCGGCCAAACUGCAGAAGUGUUAGAUGAGGGGGAAACUUGUAAGUAUCACCAAUCAAAUAAUUCUAAUAUAUUUAUAUAUUAGAAUUAUUUUAGCUAAAAAAAAUUAAUUGUUUGCUAACACAAAUAAAACCCUAGUCUAUAUUAAAAAGGAAUUAAAAGAUGAAUAAUAAUUUCCUAAAACAUGUUAAAAUAAAUAAAUAAAAAAUUAUCUGGAAAUUUCACAAGUUAAUGUCAAUUCCAUAGAUAUAGGAGAUUGUAAAAUCCAGAGUUUGGGAUCAAAGUCGAUUCAAAAUCAAAUUGAAUUUCAAGACCAAUUUUACAUCAGAAGCUUUGAUUUUCACUUAUUAAAUCUAUUGAUUAAUUUAAUUUUCGGUUUUAAACAUUUAUAGUUCAUAUUCAUUUUAUAGAUUCAACUGUUAGAUUCAUUAAUGAUGAGAUCAAACUAAGUUAACUAAUGAUAAAGGUUUUCCAAGAGUUACUAAUAUCUCAGGAAGGAUUCUUCUAUAUUCCUCAUCUAAGGUGAACUAACAAGGUAGAUGUAUUCAUAUUGAUUUAUAACAUAAAAGUACAAAGAAAACCAAUCAAAGAUUAGUAUGAUGUUGCUACUCCUUUCGAUUAUUCACCUUCAUGUUAGUAUUUUUAAAUCACAUCAUAUUAGUCAAAUCUAGUGAAGAAUUUCCUCGCAUAACCCAUGUUUCAUCACCAAGAAAAUAAAAUAGAAAGGAAUGAAAAAGAAAAAAAAAGAAAAUUAAACCUUUAUUGUAUAAAGAACCGAAAAGCAAGAGUCAUCAAUUUUUCCUCAUGAACUUAAAACCUAAAAGAAAGCAAAUAUAUAUAGUGUAACCCUGAAAGAGACAUGUGUCACCUUCUAAUUAACCACUUAUUCUUAUUAAAAAAACAAAAGAAGAAAAUUAUGAGUUACUAAAUGAUAAGAACAUGUUUUAAAUUGGUUGGAGUCGAAAAGAAGUGAUUUUGAAAUGGAUGGAGACUUGAUCCCAACUUUGUAGACCUUGAUCUCAAAAUUUAGGGUGAAAUCAAAAUCAUUUCGAAAUCAUAAGUGAUGCAUAUCUAAAUGGCAAUGGGCAUCUAAGGAUCCACAUUUUUGUCAUGCAUUCCCACUCAGUUGUGUGACUCGCUUUUUAUGUGUGAAAAAAAAUAUAUAUGUAUAUUUUUAGAAAAGUUUUUAGAGUCGUCACUUAUUUUUGUUUUAUUUUUAAGAAGGAAAAACAAAAUAAGACUCCCGAAAGAAAAGCAAGUUUAUGAAAACCAAGUCUAGGUCCAAGAUCAGAUCACCUAUUGAACAGAAAUGGUCCAUAACACUCCUCUAAACCCUAAAAUCAAGUCUCUACUAAUCAAGUUAAUGCAAAUAAGGUAAUUUAUUAGUUAAUCUAUGAGUACUAAUAGGAUAAAGGCAAAUCAUGCAUAGGGUGUAAAUAAAAACAUAAGAUGAAGAUUGGACCGUAUCUUGGCAACAAGGUGAGCGUUUCAUGAGAAAUUAUGUUAAUAUAUAAUAAUAAACACAAAAUAUCUCAUGUAUGUCACAAAGCAAGGCAGAGAUCAAUCAAUAUUUAUUAAGUAUAGCAAUCAAUGAUCAAAGGAGAAAACUCAUAUAUAGGGGCCCACCAAAACUCAAUUUAUUUUUUCAUCAAUUAAUUCCAUUUUAUUGAUUAUCACGAGGGAUUAUAGAAAUUUGGAUGAAUUUUAUUAUUUGUGGAAUUAGAAAAUUUAUUCAUGUUUAUUAAAAAUCAAGAAAAAUCAGAAAAUUAUUUAAAAUCUAAGAAAAUAAGAAAAGGUGCAUGACGGAAAAAAAUUUGGCAGCAAAAAUUUAUUGAAAUGAUGUUAGAGUCCUAAAAAAAGUCUUUUUAAGGACGAAUUUUUAAAACUGGGGCUAUUUCAGUUGAAAACAGUUUUGAAAUUUCAAUUUAAAAACCUGUAACUGAGACUGUAUUGCUUAUGUUGAUGUUGCUGCUAUAUAUUGCCAUUGUGGGUGCCUUCCCAAGUAUGCAUUUCUCCACUUGCUCUUCAAAUUUGCAGAACAUGGUUCAGAAUCAGACUGCAACCUGUUAUCUGCACUGCUUCUUUUGGCCAAAUCACUAAAAACGCCCAGAACUCUAUGUUUAUCCUCAUGGUACAGAGAGCUUACAGCCAUACUCAAAAUAGAUAACACCUUGUCCUUCUUCUCUUCAAGUGUUCCUUGGAAUCUGGCCUCCCUUGUACCAUCUUGUUUAAAUUGUCCUCAUUGCACAGAAGAGAUAGUAUCUUCUUUCCUUGUAAGGACAGCAAUCUGCAUGUAUUUCAUGAAGGUGGAUAGAAGGUGAUCUUUAGCUUUUGACGGCUCCACACGUACUGACAGACUCUCUGUGAGCUUCAGCAUUGAAGAUGCAAAAAGCUUCAUCAACCCAAGUUUAACUAUCUCAUCAGGAGCUAUGGGGAAAUCUUGAACUGCGGCCGUGGUUGUAGGCGUGAGUAUAGCCUAUAGUUUUCAGCAAACCUCACAUGGAACACCACAUAGCCGCAACCUGUACCCUGUAUUCUGCUUCAUGAAGAAAAGCAAGACCCUCUGCUGCAUCUAAAGCAAUUUUCAUUCUUGUUGAUCAAGUCAGUGUAGCACACACUAGGAUGGCCAUGCACACGUGGGAGCCGGGGACUUAGGAAGUGAAUAUUGGAUAUGGUAUUCAAGUCCUCUGAUCUUUAUUCAACUUCUGAUGGUUCAUUCAAGUAAAUGACCCUUGCAUCAAAUCGAAUUUUCAGGCACAAAAAUCUGACAUCUCCGACUUUGUUCCCCUUUGUACAGAACAGCUAAACUUGGGAGAAUUCUGUCCCUUCUCAAGAUCAUCAAAAGCAGCUGGAGAAAGCAGGCAACAUCAAACUUCUGGAUCCUCAAGGAAUUCCCACAAAGACCCGAUUUCCAAACCCCAUGCAGAAUACAGUGUCAAGUUCUCCGGCAUAUAUUCUGGAGGCUUUACAAGUGAAGGACAAAAAGCUGAUGAGCGUAGGCUAGCUUCUUUCCUGAUGUUCUCUUUAUGACUACGGGUCAAAGGAUUCAGAAGACAUGGAAGUCAACCAUGGUUAAUUAUGCACUGGGUUUGCAAGAUUGCUCCUGACAGCAAGUGUUCGUUUGUUGUUAGACAGUGCUGAGGGCUUUGAGAGUCUCUGCCAAGAGCUGGUUCAGUUUGUAGAUCCCUGAGUAGAAACCAGAGCAACUGAGUGGAUAAGAAACAGGAGAAUGAGUGGUCACACUGUCGGAUGACUUCAUUGGAGUAACCUUAAAGGCAUGGGAGUCCAGAGAUCUCUCGGAUGAGGUUUGUGAGAUUAUGUUGGGAAAUGUAAGAUUUGGAAAUAAGGCUUCAAGAUGAACUGAUAUGGUUACGGCUAUCGAGAGGAACCUGACAUAUCUCAACUGUUGUUCCUUCAGGUUAAGCUUCCUGAAGCUUUCUUGCAGGAUAAGGACCCCCUUUCUAACAGCUUCCUGCAGCUUUUCAGCUAUUCCGGUUAGAGCAGGGACACUAGUGAGUUUACUUGAUGACAUAACCUAAUGAAUUGCCUCACAACAUUCAGCAUAUCCACAAACAACCAUGAGCCCUCAUUAAUCAAUACAAGUAACUUCUCCACCAAGAUUAAUUACACCAAUGCACUGACCAGCUUGACAAUCCCGAAUCCUUAUAGUCUCAUCUUCACUACCAGUAUAUGACUUAUCAAACCCAGAUGGCAAAGUAAUCCCAAAUACAAAACUCCAAUUCAGCUCCAUGGCCAAUAUUUUGGACUAAUAGACUGGAGCACAGAUAUAAUCACAGAAACCCUCCAUUUAGUUCAUUUCUCUUCACAACCUCACUUUUCCAGUCUCAUCAACUUGGCCAUUGAUGACCUCAUCCCCACCAUCAACAAAAAACAGAGCAAUAAACAGAGAGGAGCAAAAAAAAAAAAGAAACAGGAUAUGAACUUAGCUAUAUUUCACGGAUUGUCAAAGAGCAAGAGCAAGUGGAAUCAACAGGAAACAAAGCAUGAUUUUUAUAUAUCAAGUUCAGGGAUGAAGCCAUACAUCAGAUACUUAUAGAAGGAGUCAAGGAAACCAAGAUAAAAUCAAACAGAGCAUAUAUGCACACAAACAGAUUCAGCAAAACAAACCAGUAAUCCUUGAUGCCCAAACCAAUCAAUAAAAUCACACCCAGGAAUCUGCAGAAAGAUUUAGCAGAAUAAUGUGAUAACGAGGAAAUGUGAAGUUCACAGAGACCUUACCUGGAAGUUUCCUCCCCGAGCAAGGUGUGCUCCUCUUCAAGCACUCUUUCUUCCUCCAAAGCCAGCGAGAACUCCCAGCUUCUUCUUCUCCUCUGCUCUGCUUUCUUGUCCUCCAAGACACACUUACCCUCUCUCUCAAAAACAGCCUUCCCUCCUUACCCCUUUCUCUAAAACAGCUACCCAAUGGAUCCUCUCCAACAGCUCCUCACCGGAAAAUGGUCCCCCAGACUAGAAUCUGCCCCCCUCCAAGAAUAUUUUCUCACAGUUCAGCUCACCAUCUCUCUCAAUUCCCCCCACCCACCCUUUUCGGUUUUCUCCUUCCCCAAGUUUUCUUCUUCUUUUUCUUCCACUCCUCUGCCCUCCAAAAUUUCUCUCCCUCUCCUCUCCAAAACCCCUUAGAAAACAAAGCCCCUCUGCUCUCUCUCUCUCUCUCUAAGGACCCCCUCCAAAGCGUGCUGCCCUCUGCAGAGAUUGUCCCUCCAACUGCAGAAAACUACCUCCUACCCCCAACAAACUCUUACCAGAAAAAUUAAAAAACCUUUUCCCUGCCGCGUGUCUCCUCCAGGGUGGUUUAAAAAAAGUCCCAGAAAACCAAAGGUGGCCCAAAAAGAGAGUCCCACGCCGACGGCCCAAAAUGGGGUCUACAGCAUCUUUAAAUUUCAAUAUAUUUUAUAUUCAUCCGCUGCCCUCCUCUUCCUUUGCAAUUCCUCGCGUCGAAUUGAUGUUUUCUACUUUGA